Non-coding RNA from Mycena polygramma, 94 nucleotides. The record is from the annotation of a GenBank genome assembly. Lineage: Eukaryota; Fungi; Basidiomycota; Agaricomycetes; Agaricales; Mycenaceae.
GCCGUCGUUGGCCUGGAGGCAGAGCUACCACUGCGAUUAUUUGCGGCAAGUCUCUGUAAGGAGGAAGGUGGAGGUUCGAAUCCUCCCGACGGCA